GGGUUAGUGUUAGGGUUUGGGUUAGUGUUUAGGUUAGGGUUAGUGUUAGGGUUUGGGUUAGUGUUUAGGUUAGGGUUAGUGUUAGGGUUUGGGUUAGGGUUUGGGUUAGUGUUUAGGUUAGGGUUAGUGUUAGGGUUUGGGUUAGUGUUUAGGUUAGGGUUAGUGUUAGGGUUUGGGUUAGUGUUAAGGUUAGGGUUAGUGUUAGUGUUUGGGUUAGGGUUUGGGUUAGUGUUUAGGUUAGGGUUAGUGUUAGGGUUUGGGUUAGUGUUAAGGUUAGGGUUAGGGUUAGUGUUUGGGUUAGGGUUUGGGUCAAACACUUACCCUAACCCAAAUCCCAAAUGUGUUAAAAUUGUUGAUUUGGAGGCCUUACUUUAUCUCGGAACGGGUAAGUGUAGAAGGAUAACCUAUUGCAGUUUCGUGUUAAGUUUUUCACGAACUUCUUAAAAGAAAGAGUUGUGUAUGGAUGGGGGUCCGGUUAUGAUGUUUGAAAAAAAAAAAAAAAAAAAAUAAUCUUUCAAUUAUCAUGCAGUGAGGUCGGAGAGUGCGGCCGUACACUUCAGUGAUACCAAUACGUUUUCAUCCUCUAGAUCGCCUUUCCAUCUUUUAGGAACAGUUAACUUUAAGAAGAUAUCUCUAUUCAAAUUCAUUCUACAUCUGUUUGAAGAUUGAAGUCGAAGGCAAUUUUCAUACUCUGUACUUAGAAAUAUUUUUAAAUAACCCAAACCCAAACACUAACACUAACACUAACCCUAACCUAAAC
This 760-nucleotide long non-coding RNA is filed under the name Mytilus galloprovincialis (Mediterranean mussel). Lineage: Eukaryota; Metazoa; Mollusca; Bivalvia; Mytilida; Mytilidae. The record is from RNAcentral.